AAGAGAUACAACUUGUUAAGAUUUGUUUACAUAUUAACUUUUCAGUUAUGGCAAUGAGGAAGGCUUCUCUCACUUUCUUGGUUUGUUUGGUUCUCAUCACAAUUGGUAUUUCUUUCCUCUUUCCUUGUCUCAUUGAAAUACAUCAUGUCUAUAAAUACCUAGUUAAUGUUUCAUUUAAAAUCUUAACAUAAUUUUUUUUAUUAGUCGUAUUAACUCAACAUUUGAAAUUAUGAAACAUAAUUACAAGAGUAGAUCUAUCAAAUGAUUUUGUUCCCUUGAUGAAAUUUGAGUUUUUGUUGUUUAUAGGAUAAGUUAUACAUUUAAUUGAUUGGCCAGAAAUAAUUAUAUUCGCAUGUCAAAUAUACAAGAAACAUACACUAAUCAUAUAUGAAAUAUGUGUGUUAUACAUUAAUAAAAUAUAUAUAUAUAUAUAUAUAUAUAUUAUUAGUUAUUAUUUUUUAAGAACGACUAUACAAUGUAUUUUUUUUCCUUUUUAUUUUUUUAUAGGUUUGCAAAGUGCAGAAGUUGAAGGCACACCCGGACCACCAUGCAAACUAGCAUUUGAUUGUGGAGAUUAUUGCAAAGGGGAAAUGGCAUAUUGGUUGUGGCGACAUUGCACAUGCGUUACCGGCUUCCCACCGCGUGGCCGAAAGGCUAUUGUAAAUUCUCCAAUUGGAUCUUAAAUAAAAUAAUUUUAAUUAGGAUUGUAUGAUUAUGCAUAGGAUUAUAUGCUCUAUCCAUGCUUCGUUUGAUUUUCAUAUGAAAUAAUGCAUUUAGUUAGUGAUUUGACCUUUUAUCAGCAUUAUAAUAAUG
This 813-nucleotide long non-coding RNA is filed under the name Nicotiana benthamiana. Its description in RNAcentral is "long non-coding RNA (NBEN_LNC040406)". Lineage: Eukaryota; Viridiplantae; Streptophyta; Magnoliopsida; Solanales; Solanaceae. The record is from RNAcentral.